RNAcentral lists this ribosomal RNA (449 nucleotides) under uncultured bacterium. Its description in RNAcentral is "partial 16S ribosomal RNA". It matches the Rfam family "Bacterial small subunit ribosomal RNA", at positions 29 to 523 of the family's 1533-position model. The record is from RNAcentral.
AACGAACGCUGGCGGCAUGCCUAACACAUGCAAGUCGAACGAGAUCUUCGGGUCUAGUGGCGCACGGGUGCGUAACGCGUGGGAAUCGGCCCUUUGGUUCGGAAUAACAGUUGGAAACGACUGCUAAUACCGGAUGAUGACGAAAGUCCAAAGAUUUAUCGCCAGAGGAUGAGCCCGCGUAGGAUUAGCUAGUUGGUGUGGUAAAGGCGCACCAAGGCGACGAUCCUUAGCUGGUCUGAGAGGAUGAUCAUCCACACUGGGACUGAGACACGGCCCAGACUCCUGCGGGAGGCAGCAGUGGGAGAUAUUGGACAAUGGGCGAAAGCCUGAUCCAGCAAUGCCGCGUGAGUGAUGAAGGCCUUAGGGUUGUAAAGCUCUUUUACCCGGGGUGAUAAUGACAGUACCGGGAGAAUAAGCUCCGGCUAACUCCGUGCCAGCCGCCGCGGUAA